RNAcentral lists this transfer RNA (65 nucleotides) under pig gut metagenome. It matches the Rfam family "tRNA". From Rfam's summary of the family: Transfer RNA (tRNA) molecules are approximately 80 nucleotides in length. Their secondary structure includes four short double-helical elements and three loops (D, anti-codon, and T loops). The record is from RNAcentral.
AGUGUAGCACAAUGGCAGUGCAACUGAUUUGUAAUCAGUAGGUUGUCGGUUCGACUCCGACCGCU